This is a long non-coding RNA of Pomacea canaliculata, 539 nucleotides long. RefSeq lists it as uncharacterized. The record is from RefSeq and is a predicted model, not a curated record. NCBI's taxonomy places the organism in Eukaryota, Metazoa, Mollusca, Gastropoda, Architaenioglossa, Ampullariidae. The transcript is spliced from 3 exons.
AUAGGCGCCAUUUUGUAUUGCUUGGUGUGGCAAGUGGCAGUCGACUGGUAUCUGAGACUGGCAUCACUUUCUUCUUGUAGGACAACAGCUGAAAUCCUGUAUUUGAGACAAGAAGGCAAGGGAAAGGCAGGCAAAAACCAAGAAUGCCAUCAGAGCAUGAAAGCAAGUAUGGCCAGAAAACUGCGUAACAUCUCUCAAAGAUGGGAAUCCCUUCACACAACAAGGAGCCAGUGAGGACAGCCAACGGCGGUGGAAUGCUUUCGGUCGUGAGGUUAAAAUACCCAAAAUGGAAACUUUGUGUAUGGACUGUACGACCUGUGCAUGAAUCUGUGUCACAACAAUGACGAACAGUACUAACGUUCGAAACCGUGACUAAUCCUCGACUUAGCUCGCGUCGGUUUUCUUAAUUUUCUUAUUUGUUUGUGUUAAUUUGUUUAUUGAACCUUUUAAACGGGAUGUUACAAUAUCUUACUGUCCCUUGUUUUCCACUCGUGUGUGUGUGUGUGUGUCCGAGUUAUCUAAUAAAAUACAUAACAGCU